This 72-nucleotide transfer RNA is filed under the name Microbacterium sp. Its description in RNAcentral is "tRNA-Val". It matches the Rfam family "tRNA". Rfam says of the family: Transfer RNA (tRNA) molecules are approximately 80 nucleotides in length. Their secondary structure includes four short double-helical elements and three loops (D, anti-codon, and T loops). RNAcentral also lists the same sequence under 5 other names. Lineage: Bacteria; Bacillati; Actinomycetota; Actinomycetes; Micrococcales; Microbacteriaceae. The record is from RNAcentral.
GGGCGCUUAGCUCAGUGGUAGAGCGGCGGUUUUACACACCGUUGGUCGGCGGUUCGAAUCCGUCAGCGCCCA